UAAGGAAUAUUGCGCAAUGGACGAAAGUCUGACGCAGCGACGCCGCGUGGGGGAUGAAGGUCUUCGGAUUGUAAACCCCUUUCGGGAGGGAAGAUGGAGUGGGUAACCACUUGGACGGUACCUCCAGAAGCAGCCACGGCUAACUUCGUGCCAGCAGCCGCGGUAAUACGAAGGUGGCAAGCGUUGUUCGGAUUCACUGGGCGUACAGGGAGCGUAGGCGGUUGGGUAAGCCCUCCGUGAAAUCUCCGGGCCUAACCCGGAAAGUGCAGAGGGGACUGCUCAGCUAGAGGAUGGGAGAGGAGCGCGGAAUUCCCGGUGUAGCGGUGAAAUGCGUAGAGAUCGGGAGGAAGGCCGGUGGCGAAGGCGGCGCUCUGGAACAUUUCUGACGCUGAGGCUCGAAAGCGUGGGGAGCAAACAGGAUUAGAUACCCCGGUAGUCCCUGAGCGGGCUGGCAAGGCGCAU
Molecule: ribosomal RNA, 462 nt
Filed under: uncultured bacterium
Lineage: Bacteria
Description: bacterial SSU rRNA
Rfam family: Bacterial small subunit ribosomal RNA
Source: RNAcentral